GACGAACGCUGGCGGCGUGCCUAAUACAUGCAAGUCGAGCGAAGUUUUUCUGGUGCUUGCACCGGAAAAACUUAGCGGCGAACGGGUGAGUAACACGUAAAGAACCUGCCUCAUAGACUGGGACAACUAUUGGAAACGAUAGCUAAUACCGGAUAACAGCAUUAACUGCAUGGUUGAUGUUUAAAGGUUGGUUUUGCCAACACUAUAAGAUGGCUUUGCGGUGCAUUAGCUAGUUGGUGGGGUAAAGGCCUACCAAGGCGACGAUGCAUAGCCGACCUGAGAGGGUGAUCGGCCACACUGGGACUGAGACACGGCCCAGACUCCUACGGGAGGCAGCAGUAGGGAAUCUUCCGCAAUGGGCGAAAGCCUGACGGAGCAACGCCGCGUGAGUGAAGAAGGAUUUCGGUUCGUAAAGCUCUGUUGUUAGGGAAGAAUGAUUGUGUAGUAACUAU
RNAcentral lists this ribosomal RNA (452 nucleotides) under uncultured Gemella sp. RNAcentral describes it as "bacterial SSU rRNA". It matches the Rfam family "Bacterial small subunit ribosomal RNA", at positions 28 to 467 of the family's 1533-position model. The record is from RNAcentral. Lineage: Bacteria; Bacillati; Bacillota; Bacilli; Caryophanales; Gemellaceae.